This 427-nucleotide ribosomal RNA is filed under the name uncultured bacterium. RNAcentral describes it as "partial 16S ribosomal RNA". It matches the Rfam family "Bacterial small subunit ribosomal RNA", at positions 355 to 774 of the family's 1533-position model. The record is from RNAcentral.
UGGGGAAUAUUGCACAAUGGGCGCAAGCCUGAUGCAGCCAUGCCGCGUGUAUGAAGAAGGCCUUCGGGUUGUAAAGUACUUUCAGCGGGGAGGAAGGCGAUAAGGUUAAUAACCUUGUCGAUUGACGUUACCCGCAGAAGAAGCACCGGCUAACUCCGUGCCAGCAGCCGCGGUAAUACGGAGGGUGCAUGCGUUAAUCGGAAUUACUGGGCGUAAAGCGCACGCAGGCGGUCUGUCAAGUCGGAUGUGAAAUCCCCGGGCUCAACCUGGGAACUGCAUUCGAAACUGGCAGGCUAGAGUCUUGUAGAGGGGGGUAGAAUUCCAGGUGUAGCGGUGAAAUGCGUAGAGAUCUGGAGGAAUACCGGUGGCGAAGGCGGCCCCCUGGACAAAGACUGACGCUCAGGUGCGAAAGCGUGGGGAGCAAACA